Molecule: long non-coding RNA, 7025 nt
Organism: Halichondria panicea
Lineage: Eukaryota; Metazoa; Porifera; Demospongiae; Suberitida; Halichondriidae
Exons: 6
Source: RefSeq, a predicted model, not a curated record
GUGAGUUUAAUUCCAGCAUGGUCCAGAUCGACUAAAAUGUAUAAUGUAUUUCACCCACUCAAAUUUAACAGUCACGAUUUUCUUUCUUUGAAUCAUGUACAGCAUCUAGAGCCUCACGUACAACAUCCAUUUAUUAUUUACUUUACAUUCAAAUGCGAUAGCAUGUGCAUGGUUGGUUCAGGUGACAGUCGGACUUCCACUUCUUUCUUGUCUUUAAGCCACCAAACGUAGGGUUUCCUGGAGGCUUGGGUCUCGCGUCACCCCAAUACACUUGAAAAUAACUGAAUGACAUAGUUCUGGGUCUGUGCUGUCUCCUUGAUCUUCAUCAUCAUCAUCUUCUUCAAAGGAAUGUUCGUUGAACUCAACACUUCUCGUCUCGUUUCUUCUGUUUCUGAGUUAUGAGAACUAGGUGUAUCAUACUGAUGUCGUGAACCUUGUAACUGGUGCCGCCUUUUCUGCUUCUUGCACCUGCAAUACAAUAAUAUUUUAAUAGACUAUUAUUUUAGUAAUUAAAUCGAACUUGCCUAAAUACAAAAAGCGUUUUCACAUCCCUUUUCCACUGUUACCAGGUAAGGAGUAGAGAUUGUAUCUAGUACAGAACAGUACAGAACAGUCACGGAUGAAGCCAAUAAAUUUGUAUCAAUCCAUUCUCAUCAGUGAACUGGUAAUUUUGUAAGGAAAUGUUGUACCAACAAACAGUACCAACAAACAACAAAAUGGGGAUAUCCUCAUCUUCACGGGGUCACUUUGAGUGCAAGUGGCCAUGAUGGCAAAUAAUUAUGGUAGAAUGUACCCACGUGGCAAGGAAUGUGUGGAAUGCAAUUUUAAUUAUAAUCGUGACGAACCUCCUCUGGUUAUUCCCUUUGAAAAUCCCCACAACUGAGUAGCAUUUUAAGAGACUGUGUGGGCACUCUGAAACAUUACACUGGUAAUGACGAGGAAAUGGCCAGUUUUAAUAAACUGAUCGAUUGCCGAGAGGAGAACUAGUAUCAGUUCAACUAUCUAGACGUGCAUCUUUUCCUGUUCUAUCAUCAAAGCUGUUCUAUCAUCAAAGCUGUUCUAUCAUCAAAGCCAACCUUGUACCAGUGCUACUUCAGUCCAAGUGCUACUUCAGUCCAAAAAAUUAUCGCUGAACAUUAAUUCAUACUCAUAACUCACUCAACAUUCUCAUACUCAUUGAUCGAUGAACAUUAUCGAUCGUGCAUAACUAUAAUAAUAACUAUAAUAAUUAUACAUGUACACAUGCAUUGAUAUGUAUAUUGUUGUCCUAUAUUGUGCUCCGACAUCGUGAACAAACUUUGCUCCAGGGCCCGUUCUUGCAAAUCUUGACUCCACAACCUCCACAAUACAUUUGCUACGACUCCAAUGUGUUAUAAACAUCCAUUCCAAUUCCACAGAAAUAAUCUUCUUACUAUCAGCCAACACAUCCACUGACCACAUCCACUGACCAUUCACUGACCAUUUACAGUCUACUAAACACUUAAAAUAAUGCAAUGGCUCAAAAACAUUAUCCGGUUCUGGUUUUAUCCUGAAUUCAAUUGUAACACCUCUUUGCUUGUUCAAGGAACUAAUGUUUCCUCUUCUCUUGAUACUGCUCUUCUUUGAUACUGCUCUUCUUUACUGGUUCCUAUACACUUGGAGUGAAUCAUCAUCAUCAUCAUCAUCAUUAUCCGAUAUAUAAGUUUCUGGUAUCAUAGUAACAUCCUCAUUGGGUGUAGUCGAAUGUUGAUCUAGUACUUCCCACUUCCAAAUUCUUAAUCAGCUUGGAUUUCAGCUUCUCCUCAAGUGGUGCUGGUAUGCUCAAUGCAUUGAGAGGUGAGGUGCAGACUUAAAGCUGAGCCUUGAGAUGACACACAUACUGCAUGUGACCUCCAUGUUUCUCAGAGUGAUCUCAGACGGAGAGUGUAUGGUGGUGAAGUGCGGCUUUGAGAUACUCUUAAGCGCUCGCAUGUGUAAACAAAGAGGGCAUUCGAAAAUAUCGUAUGACUGUUGCUUGCUGACAGAAGGUGGGAGGAGCGAUCGUGUGGACGUACUGGAUGCAUGACGUACUGGAUGCAUGACAGCUUUUUGCUGGCCUGCCAGGUGCAUAAAGUUGCUUGGCCUCCCACCAAUACUACAACUAGAACAAACUAGGCAGUUGUCCUCGCUGUGAGCAGACCACGAUGCAAUCACCUUUCUGGGUGGGGUUGGGGUUGUAUUGUCUUCCGUAUAUUGUUACUGUGGAUGAGUUAUUUCCACAUCUUCACUGACGUCUAUGCCGAACACCUUUAGGACUUUCUCUCUGAUGCUCGGCCUGCUUGAUGCACAUGACUGCUUGCAUGUGAUUUAAAUGAAUAACUGAGCAGUUGCCAUGGUUAUGAGUAUUGCACAAGACAGGAAAUUUACAGAUAGACACCCACUUACUUUUCCAAUUCUAAUCACAAAACAGCGGUGUGUAUACAAUAACUGUCCUAUUAAAACGGAAGUAAACCGAGAUUGUGUAGAAUGAUGGUAUGCAGGCGGCAUUAGUAUUCAGAACAUAAUUAUAGCUAGAUGUAUAAUAGAUGUACUCAGGUAGGUUAAGGCAGCUUUUUAGCAAAAACAGCAGAUGAAGUGUGAUGAAGUGUACUUAUACAACUCAGAUUUAUUGUAUAAUAAUUAUCUUGACCAUUAAUUUCAUAGUGACCAAAAAUAAUAACAUUUUAGAAAUGCAGCCUCCAAUACUACUAAGCUAUUGGUGAGAGUAACUUAAUUGAUAAAAUGCUGAGAAAAUGAAUCAUUCAUAAUUAUGCAUACUGUACAAAUUACAUGACAAAUGAAAGCAGCUAAUGCAGAUUGAUUUUUUCAUAUAUCAUGAACCACACAUUCACCUUAACACCAUCAUCGUUACCUAGCAACUGACCACCCUUAUAAUUAUGUACACAAACAAUAUGCACAAAGUGACUAUAUAUGUAUUCUCACGGAUCAGCAGAAACUUGUCACAUCAGCAGACGUUGAAAAUUAGUGCAUGUAUCAUUGCGUUUUUGCAGCCUCUGUAAUUCUGCAAUUCUCCAAUAUACGCGAUGACGAUGGUUUUUUUUCUCAGAGAGGACAAUAAGUGUUGGGCCACCCCAGUGCACUUCAGCCGUGCUGUAUAUCGUGUUUAGACGUUUCCCACAAAAAUUAACCAUUCAGAACCCAAAUUGGAAACUAUAAAAUAAAUGUGCUCUUAAAUGUGUGCUCUUAAAUGUGCUCUUAAAUGUGCUCUCUAUAUUAAACAUCUCUCUAUUAAACAUAAGAGCUUAUUACAUACCGAUAUGUAGUGAGCAGCAAGUAUCAAAUUUUAAGCGCAAUUUAAACGCAAUAAAGUGUAAUGGUGAUGCAUUGUACGCACAUUGAAGAUUCGGGAAACAAAUUUGCAAAAAUUAAAUGAUGUUGCUCGGUUUUGUUGCGACCCUUUUGAAAGUUGUGUUUUGACCAUUGAUCCAACGUUUAAUUUAGGUCAACGUUUAAUUUAGGUGGAUGUUACGUGCCUGCCACGUCACAUUGUAUGUUGUUGUGGUAUCGAGUGUAGCGACUAUACUUACGUGUUCAAGGGCACAGUACACUUAUUUAUUCCUUAUAUACAACACUUAUACAGAUGGUUGAGAAUCUCAGGGAACAUGUAGCCAAAUGCCAAAACUCCCAUACUCCACCACAUGACAGUGAAACAGAGUUUAACAGGGAAUUUCCGUCAUUCUUAUCGAGAGUCCGAAGGGGAUAAAGCUGGAAGUGAAGAGACAUCAAGUCAUCCCUAUAGCUAAUAUAUAAUAGAAUGCUAGCUAUUAGUACGUAGCUGUAAGAGAGGCGGAAAAAAGCUGCACCGUGAUUAUUCAUUAUACAUACAAUCAUUAUCAUUGAUAGGAGCUAUCUUUCCUUGAUGAAUGAGUCCUCAAAGUGACCUAUCAGAGGAUGAUACUGACUUACAGGCAGCAAUAUCUGCAAGCCUUGCGCCCCCCGAAGUGGAAACGACAAUGACAUACCCUAAGUCUGACAUUAAAGCAAUCUUGAAGGACCACUGUGCUUCAAGCAUUUCGUUAGAGGAUUAUUGCAGGAUUAUGGUACGAAGAACCCAUAUCUGGGAAGAUUCACUGAGGAUGUUCUGCAAGAUUGACAUGAAGAAAACGCUCCGAGUCACUUUUAUGGGGGAGGCUGGUGUAGGCCCGUGUAGGGAGUACCUACGAUUGCUGAUGUCAGAAAUGAGCAAACAGGGUCAUCUAUUCAUGCAAAGUUCCAAUGCAUAAUGCCUUGGCACUGACCAAGGGAGAUUUCUACAAAAUUGGUACCUUUAUUGUCUUGUCCAUCACACAAGGAGGCCCAGGGCCAACGUGGUUUGCGGGUAGUGUUGUAGACUAUCUUUUUGGUGGAACUGAAGCUGUGAAAGGUUGUGCUGCUGAUGUCCCUGAUUAUGACGUCCGUGAGAAACUGCUUGAGGUAUAAAGGUUACAAUUAAUUUCCAUGCUGCUGAUUUGAUAUCGUUUGUAAUUGGUAUAUACGUACAUAUGAGUGAUGCUGAUCUGUGCAACAAUAAUUUAUGCUAUCCUGCAUGGAGACAUACUUAACCCCUCGACGGAGGAGGAAUUAAGGGAUGAAAAGUUCUCCUUUAGGUUUGAUUGUGGAGUUUUCCAACCAACGUCUCAACUGAAAUUGAGAGACAAGGAGCAUAUUAUUGCUAGCAUAUCUAUGCAUUUCUGUGUCUAUUCCUGUAAAGUUGAGCUUGAUGAAAUGAGGCGAGGUCUACUCUCCCUCAACUUUAUAGGCGCCAUGAAUGGCCCUUCAAGUUCAAUGCAGAGGCCCAAACGCUUACUGCCGAAGAAGUGGAGAAGCUUCUGUUCAGUCCCCAAGGCUCAAACAAAAGGAGCAAGGAGGAGCAAGUGAUGAUGCACUUUUUGGAAUUCCUUCAGGAUUUGGAAGAAUAGAUGGGAAUGGAAAAGUAACUGUGGUGAACAACAGUGAACCGGAAAAUCUUCCUCUUAUUCUAGAAGAUGUCACCACAGGAGCUGCUGGUGUCCCUCCACUAGGGUUUGAGGAAGAGUCUUCAAUGCUGAAGAUGAGGCUAAAUCGAAGAUGAGGCUAAAUCAGAUUUACCUACAUCUAGCACGUGCACGUGCACAAACACAUUGUUCAUUCCAACAACCAACCACAAUGACUGUGAAAAAUUUAAAUACAAAUUUGCUCAGGGUAUUCUCAGGUGAAUUAAGGACUGGGUCCUUUAAUUAUUGCUGAUUCAGCUAAAACGAAGCUCCGCCCACGCUUUUUACCAGCAAUUGUGCAUAAAAAUGGAUCUCAAACUGCUUAAAUCUUUAGCUCUAAUUCCGGAGUCCUAAACGCUCCUUGAAGCACUUACUUUUUAGUGUAGUAGUUAGUUCUAAGGCUAGUACACACAGUAAUAUACGGAAGGAGCCGUCUGCACUACGUAGAGUAAGUUAUUAGCUUUUACAUGUAAAAAAUUAAGCUAGAAAACUAUGUUUUAUAGAAUAUCUCACCUUUAGUUGAAGGAACAGCUCCUUCCGAAUAUUACUGUGUGUACUAGCCUUAGAACUAGCUACUACACUAAAAAGUAAGUGCUUCAAGGAGCGUUUAGGACUCCGGAAUUAGAGCUAAAGAUUUAAGCAGUUUGAGAUCCAUUUUUAUGCACAAUUGCUGGUAAAAAGCGUGGGCGGAGCUUCGUUUUAGCUGAAUCAGCAAUAAUUGAAGGACCCAGUCCUUAAUUCACUUGAGAUUACCUGUGCAGUAGGUUUCGGCCAAGUUUAAAUUUUUUUUUUCCAUUUUUCUUCCAUGCUAUUAUAUAUAUAUUAUAUAUAUAUACUCUGCCAUCUUAUUCUCAUUGUUAUUAUUUUAUUCACCUCUGAUUGAAUUGUCGUACAUUGAUGAUUGCCAUAAUAAUUAUAAGAACAAAUUAAAGUGCACGGAGAAAAUCUUUGGAUCACAAGUUGACGGACUCAAUAAUUAUAAAUUAUACCCGUGAUCUACUUCACUCUGAAAAGGCAUGCACAAAUGUUCUAACAAGAACAUAUGUUUUACCAAAGUUAUCAAGGGUUAUAGUGUCUGGAUCAAUUACAGUUUCCAACACAUCAGCUAAGUAAGGUGGUAAUGGAUGGGUUGGCAACCGUUACUUGCGCUGGAUCAGAGUAAGAAAUUGGCCCAGACCAAUCAAUCCAAGAUAUACAGUAAGGUAUGAAUGCAUUGUAUAAUUUAACCUACAUUACUCAGUGGCUCCAAUACACUCUGUAGUUCCGCACUAGUGCACAUUCCAAGAACCCAAGAACCCACAGCUGAUACGGAGUUUUUCCUCUUUCACUACUAAGAGGAUGAUUUUUCCAUGAGUUACUGAACUGCCGUAACUGCAAGGACAGCACAGAAUAGUGAAGAGAAAAAAUAUCUCUGUCAUCACACGCAUCUAGCAGACCACCAUCCUCAAGCCCAGUGAAAAGAUGAUAGAAAGGAGCUACACAACCCAAAGUCUCUCAAUCCUUUGGUUGUGUACACUGCGACCUGUUCCUGUCCUCUCUCAGGGUGGUUGAGCAUAUACCUCGAAAUACUCACAUUUUCUCCACCCUUAUCGCUUCUAGCUCUUGAUGGUAGCCCAAAUGUUUCAACACCAGCAAGAAAGGACCCCAGUACUGUUUCAGCUCUGUUGUUGACUGCAGCAUGCAGAUAUACUAUGAGCCUUGAAUAGCCAUCUAUCCCACCGUGGAUGACUAUUUUCCAGUGGAUAAGCUUGUGGAUGGAUACCACAUGCCAAAGACUAUUUGAACCAGGUACAGAAUAUCGCCAUCGAGGGUCAACACGUGCUAGGCUGUCCCUUGCUCUUUGUCUGGGUAUUCUUAUUCCCUGUGAUCUUAAGUGGCCAACAAGCAUUCUGUGAAAUGUCGCUUACGUGAAAUGUCGCUUACAACAGAAUGUAGAUAACUGGUGAACCCAAACUCUUGUAUUCGCCGAUAAACAGUUUUGGCUGAACACUGUAGCACCGAGAAAUGGCUAUGUAAUAGCUGAAGAACUUGUUCUUCAGUGAUCCCUCUGGUAGU